Molecule: ribosomal RNA, 2547 nt
Filed under: Ctenocephalides felis (cat flea)
Lineage: Eukaryota; Metazoa; Arthropoda; Insecta; Siphonaptera; Pulicidae
Description: eukaryotic LSU rRNA
Rfam family: Eukaryotic large subunit ribosomal RNA (bases 485-2407)
Source: RNAcentral
AUCACCCUGAACGGUGGAUCACUUGGCUCGUGGGUCGAUGAAGAACAAAGCUAAUUGCUCGUCGACAUGUGAACUGCAGGAUACAUGAAGAUUGACAUUUCGAACGCACAUUGCGGUUCUCGGAUACUGUUUCCGAACCACCUCCGGCUGAGGGUCAUAUAACAUUACCAGACUGCCGCUUGCUUGAAAUGGCUUGCCGGCAAAUGAUGGAGUUUCGCGUAUAUGCGUGCUCUUAAAUAAUUCACUCAAGGUGUGAGCCAGUCCACUUUACAACAUUGGACAUUACCGUUCGUUGACGUUCUGUGGGAUUACUUAAUAUUCUUUAUAUUAAUUAUUUUAUAUUCUUGCGACCUUCAUGAUAACCGGAAACCCAAACUCUUCGUAAUGCGGUUUCGUUCUGGCAAAUUUGGGCAAUUCAGAGGUUUUUCGUCGAUUUUAUGUGCGCUUGCUUACUAAUGUUUGCGAGCACAUCAUAAUCAUAAUUUGACCUUAGAGCAGAUGAGAUUACCUACUGAAUUUAAGCAUAUUACUAAGCGGUGGCACUAAGAUUUUCUCAGUUGCGGCGAGCGAACAGGGAAGAGCCCAGCACUAAAUCUUGCGGUUGGAAACGGACGCUGGGAAAUGUAGUGUUAGGGAGAAUCCGAUUAUCUCGGUGCGUUGCUGCAAAUUCAAGUCCAUCUUGAAUGAUGCCAUUUACCAGUAGAGGGUGACAGGCCCGUAGCGAUCGUUGCGCGUACCGAGAGGAUCACUCCUCAGAUUCGAGUUGCUUGAGAGUGCAGCUCUAAGUGGGUGGUAAACUCCAUCUAAGGCUAAAUAUAACCACGAGACCGAUAGCAAACAAGUACCGUGAGGGAAAGUUGAAAAGAACUUUGAAGUGAUCUACGGUUGCGUGCUUGCAAUCCCUGGGCAUUUCACUCUCGGCCGAAUGGACCCGGGAUGAAUCAAACGCCAAGUUAAGGCACCUAAAAGAUGCUAAUCGGAUACCAUGAAAGACGUUAGUUGCUCAAGACAGCAGGACGGUGGCCAUGGAAGUUGGAAUCCGCAAAGGAGUGUGUAAUAAAUCACCUGACGAAGCAACUAGCCUUGAGAAUGAAUGGCGCUUAAGUGUUGUGCUUAUACUCGGCCGCCAGAGCAUGAGGAGCGUUUAUUACAGUUCGUUUUGAAGUCCUGGUAAGUAGGAGGGUCACGGUGGUGUGCGCAGAAGGAUUUGGGCGUGAGUCUGCCUGGAGCCGCCAUCGGUGCAGAUCUUGGUGGUAGCAGCAAAUAUUACAGCGAGGCCCUGAAGGGCUGACGUGAAGAAGGGUCUCGUGCGAACAACCAUUGCACACGAGUCAGUCGAUCCCAAGUCCCAGGAGAAUCCCUAUGUGUAUUUUGGUGUAUUUUAUUUUGAAUAAAAUUUCACACCCAUCGGGCGAAAGAAAACCCGGUUCCUAUUCCGAAACCCGACAGCGGAGCCGUUUACAAGUCGGGCCCUCGCAAGAGAGUUCGUCGGGGUAACCCAAAAUGACCUGGAGACGCCGUCGCGAGAUACGGGGAGAGUUUUCUUUUCUGUAUGAGCGUUCGAGUUCCCUAGCAGGGAGUUCAAAUUCUUCAGCAGGGAGAUAAGGUUUGGAGCGCAAAGAGCACCGCAGUUGCGGCCGUGUCCGUAUCUUCCCCUCGGACUUUGAAAAUCCUAGAGAGCGCCACGGUAGGAGUUGCGCCGGUUUUAACCCAUAUCCGCAGCAGGUCUCUAAGGUGAAAGGCCUCUAGUUGAUAGAUUAAUGUAGGUAAGGGAUCCAUAACUUCGGGAUAAGGAUUGACACUGAUGAUCGGGGCGUGCCGGGCUUGGUUCGGGAGCAGGCGUAGGCCGACGUGCCGGGCCUGGGCGAUGUAAAAUUGUCCUUGUGACUUAGAUCUGAGCUCGGUCCUGUGUCUUUCCCCCGCGGAUCUUUCUUGCUGCAAGAUUUCUGUGCCGGUUUCGGUCGGUCGGUCGUCCUCUUCGGCUGCCAUUUAACGGUCAGCUCAGAACUGGCACGGACUAGUAAAAUCUGACUGCCUAAUUAAAACAAAGCAUUGCGAUUUUCCUAGCGGGUGUUGACGCAAUGUGAUUUCUGACCAGUGCUGUGAAUGUCAAUGUUAAGAAUUUCGAGCAAGCGCGGGUGAACUGCGGGAGUAACUGUCUUUAGCGCAUGGUGGAACCGCGGUUGUUAGGGUGCUUUUGUCUUUUGACAUAGCACUCUGGUCUCGAAAAAAUCAUGCGCUAACAAAUCGCGACUGGUCGAAUACCAGGAAGUAUCCGAACACUGGGACAGAUUUAGCCAAAUGCCUCGUCAUCUAACUAGGGACGCGCAUGAAUGGAUUAACAAGAUUCUCACUGUUCCUAUCUACUAUCUUUCAAAGGUCGGAGCUGGAAUGCGAUCAUAUAUGUGAGUAGAAAUAUGCAUUUAUAAAGAAAGCUUCUAUAUCGUAAACUGCUAUAUGUAGUUCUCAGUCGACAUAAAUAGCUGGACAGAAUCCCCAGGAAUCAGAAAUCUCUAACAACCUAGUUGUUCUAAAUGAACCUAGCCU